GACGAACGCUGGCGGCGUGCUUAACACAUGCAAGUCGAACGGUGAAGCGCUUGCCUUUUUGGUGGGUGUGGAUGAGUGGCGAACGGGUGAGUAACACGUGAGUAACCUGCCCUCUUCUUCUGGAUAACCUCAUGAAAGUGGGGCUAAUACGGGGUAUUCCGGGUCUGUCGCAUGGCGGGUUUGGGAAAGAUUGCGCCUUUGGGUGUUUUCGGUGGGGGAUGGGCUCGCGGCCUAUCAGCUUGUUGGUGGGGUGAUGGCCUACCAAGGCGGUGACGGGUAGCCGGCCUGAGAGGGUGGACGGCCACACUGGGACUGAGACACGGCCCAGACUCCUGCGGGAGGCAGCAGUGGGGAAUAUUGCACAAUGGGCGCAAGCCUGAUGCAGCGACGCCGCGUGAGGGAUGGAGGCCUUCGGGUUGUGAACCUCUUUCGCCAGUGAAGCAGGCCUGCUCCUGGGUGGGUGGGUUGACGGGAGCUGGAUAAGAAGCGCCGGCGAACUACGU
Molecule: ribosomal RNA, 503 nt
Filed under: uncultured bacterium
Lineage: Bacteria
Description: partial 16S ribosomal RNA
Rfam family: Bacterial small subunit ribosomal RNA
Source: RNAcentral